GACGAACGCUGGCGGCGUGCUUAACACAUGCAAGUCGAGCGGAAAGGCCCUUCGGGGUACUCGAGCGGCGAACGGGUGAGUAACACGUGAGUAAUCUGCCCUUGGCUUUGGGAUAACUACCGGAAACGGUGGCUAAUACCGGAUACGACGCACUCAGGCAUCUGAUGUGUGUGGAAAGUUUUUUCGGCCAGGGAUGUGCUCGCGGCCUAUCAGCUUGUUGGUGGGGUAAUGGCCUACCAAGGCUUCGACGGGUAGCCGGCCUGAGAGGGUGACCGGCCACACUGGGACUGAGACACGGCCCAGACUCCUACGGGAGGCAGCAGUGGGGAAUAUUGGACAAUGGGCGGAAGCCUGAUCCAGCAACGCCGCGUGAGGGAUGACGGCCUCGGGUUGUAAACCGUCUUUCAGUACCGACGAAGCGCCGAUGAUGGUGGUGACGGUAGGUACAGAAGAAGCACCGGCCAACUACGUGCCAGCAGCCGCGGUAAU
RNAcentral lists this ribosomal RNA (489 nucleotides) under uncultured bacterium. RNAcentral's name for it is "bacterial SSU rRNA". It matches the Rfam family "Bacterial small subunit ribosomal RNA", at positions 28 to 524 of the family's 1533-position model. The record is from RNAcentral.